Molecule: ribosomal RNA, 293 nt
Filed under: uncultured eukaryote
Lineage: Eukaryota
Description: partial 18S ribosomal RNA
Rfam family: Archaeal small subunit ribosomal RNA
Source: RNAcentral
GGUUGAUCCUGCCGGACCCCACUGCUAUCGGGAUGGGACUAAGACAUGCUAGUUGAGCGCCCUCCAGCCAUGUGGGAGGCGCAGCGCACAGCUCAGUAACACGUGGCUAACCUGCCCUUGGGACGAGAACAACCCCGGGAAACUGGGGCUAAUCCUCGAUAGGUGAAGUACUUUGGAAUGAGUCUUCGUCUAAAGGGUGCCGGAUCAUGCUUUCGGCAUUGCCUAAGGAUGGGGCCGCGGCCGAUCAGGUUGUUGGUGAGGUAACGGCUCACCAAGCCUUUUACCGGUGCGGG